Long non-coding RNA from Metopolophium dirhodum (rose-grain aphid), 679 nucleotides. RefSeq lists it as uncharacterized. The record is from RefSeq and is a predicted model, not a curated record. Lineage: Eukaryota; Metazoa; Arthropoda; Insecta; Hemiptera; Aphididae. The transcript has 3 exons.
AUAUUAUGUCCGCCGCGGCGACGUCGGGGCGGAAAGUGCUGAUUUCGAACAUAAUAUUAUUAUAUUAUAAUUUUUAACAUGCUUUCGAAGUCAUGCGAUAUCCACGCAGGUGCCAAAUUCAAAAAGGCAAUUUGUGAAAACUACACAACACGUGUGUGAGACGAAAAUAUUAGAGCAGGUUGAGGUGUAACAGCAUUUUAGGGGCUAUUGUAAUUCCCACUUCCAGGACUUUAUUAUACAUACAGCCGACAGCCCGAUGACCUACAUUUUUGUGUAUUCUGAUCUACCCUAUGAUGGCCGCGAAGUAACGAUCACGUCACCGUUUAUCAGAUUGCCCAGUUUGAAAGAGUCUCCAACAAUUUCAUCGGAUAGGUACGCCAUAAACCGUGGCAUAGCGCUGGGCCAGCAUCAUUUUGUCCGGAUCAAUAUCUACAAAAAUGACGUCCCAAUUAUUAGAAGCUAAUAAUAUAGUGUCUUUGUCGAACAGUCAGCUGUACGAAGUUUCCGCUGUGCCACAAAACGGGUCGACGCCGGUCGCUGAACAUGGGAAGUCCUCAAGUCCACCAAGCAUCGUAUUGAUGAAUCAACAAUACAUCUUACAUCUUACAUCUAACAUCUUACAUCUUACAACUUACAUCUAUCAUUGCAAUCUUAUAAUUAUUCACCUGAGUGCAUGUAA